This 431-nucleotide ribosomal RNA is filed under the name uncultured bacterium. RNAcentral describes it as "bacterial SSU rRNA". It matches the Rfam family "Bacterial small subunit ribosomal RNA", at positions 917 to 1349 of the family's 1533-position model. The record is from RNAcentral.
GGGCCCGCACAAGCGGUGGAGUAUGUGGUUUAAUUCGAUGCAACGCGAAGAACCUUACCAGGGCUUGACAUCCUGCGAAUCUCUGGGAAACCGGAGAGUGCCUUCGGGAACGCAGUGACAGGUGGUGCAUGGCUGUCGUCAGCUCGUGUCGUGAGAUGUUGGGUUAAGUCCCGCAACGAGCGCAACCCACGUCUUUAGUUGCCAGCAUUUAGUUGGGCACUCUAGAGAGACCGCCGGUGACAAACCGGAGGAAGGUGUGGAUGACGUCAAGUCAUCAUGCCCCUUACGUCCUGGGCUACACACGUACUACAAUGCUACGGACAAAGGGCAGCAAACUCGCGAGAGCUAGCAAAUCCCAUAAACCGUGGCUCAGUUCAGAUCGUAGGCUGCAACUCGCCUACGUGAAGGAGGAAUCGCUAGUAAUCGCAGGU